CCUACAGUCCGAAGUGCGAUAAGGGAACCCAAGUGCGUAAGGCAUUAGAAGCCUACGCUUUUGUCCACCGUAGGGAGGUGGACGAAUAAGGGCUGGGCAAGACCGGUGCCAGCCGCCGCGGUAAUACCGGCAGCCCGAGUGAUGGCCGAUCUUAUUGGGCCUAAAGCGUCCGUAGCUGGCCGCGCAAGUCUAUCGGAAAAUCCACCCGCUCAACGGGUGGGCGUCCGGUAGAAACUGCGUGGCUUGGGACCGGAAGGCGCGACGGGUACGUCCGGGGUAGGAGUGAAAUCCCGUAAUCCUGGACGGACCGCCGAUGGCGAAAGCACGUCGCGAGGACGGAUCCGACAGUGAGGGACGAAAGCUAGGGUCUCGAACCGGAUUAGAUACCCGGGUAGUCCUAGCCGUAAACAAUGUCUGUUAGGUGUGGCUCCCACUACGAGUGGGUGCUGUGCCGUAGGGAAGCCGCUAAACAGACCGCCUGGGAAGUACGUCCGCAAGGAUGAAACUUAAAGGAAUUGGGGGGGGGGAGCAACAA
This 535-nucleotide ribosomal RNA is filed under the name Halorubrum sp. Its description in RNAcentral is "bacterial SSU rRNA". It matches the Rfam family "Archaeal small subunit ribosomal RNA", at positions 349 to 884 of the family's 1478-position model. Lineage: Archaea; Methanobacteriati; Methanobacteriota; Halobacteria; Halobacteriales; Haloferacaceae. The record is from RNAcentral.